UUAAGCGACUAAGCGUACACGGUGGAUGCCCUGGCAGUCAGAGGCGAUGAAGGGCGUGCUAAUCUGCGAUAAGCGCCGGUAAGGUGAUAUGAACCGUUAUAACCGGCGAUACCCGAAUGGGGAAACCCAGUGUGACUCGUCACACUAUCAUUAACUGAAUCCAUAGGUUAAUGAGGCGAACCGGGGGAACUGAAACAUCUAAGUACCCCGAGGAAAAGAAAUCAACCGAGAUUCCCCCAGUAGCGGCGAGCGAACGGGGAGGAGCCCAGAGCCUGAAUCAGCAUGUGUGUUAGUGGAAGCGUCUGGAAAGGCGCGCGAUACAGGGUGACAGCCCCGUACACAAAAGCGCAUGUGCUGUGAGCUCGAUGAGUAGGGCGGGACACGUGGUAUCCUGUCUGAAUAUGGGGGGACCAUCCUCCAAGGCUAAAUACUCCUGACUGACCGAUAGUGAACCAGUACCGUGAGGGAAAGGCGAAAAGAACCCCGGCGAGGGGAGUGAAAAAGAACCUGAAACCGUGUACGUACAAGCAGUGGGAGCACAGGUUUACCUGUGUGACUGCGUACCUUUUGUAUAAUGGGUCAGCGACUUAUAUUCUGUAGCAAGGUUAACCGAAUAGGGGAGCCGGAGGGAAACCGAGUCUUAAUUGGGCGUUAAGUUGCAGGGUAUAGACCCGAAACCCGGUGAUCUAGCCAUGGGCAGGUUGAAGGUUGGGUAACACUAACUGGAGGACCGAACCGACUAAUGUUGAAAAAUUAGCGGAUGACCUGUGGCUGGGGGUGAAAGGCCAAUCAAACCGGGAGAUAGCUGGUUCUCCCCGAAAGCUAUUUAGGUAGCGCCUCGUGAAUUCAUCUCCGGGGGUAGAGCACUGUUUCGGCUAGGGGGCCAUCCCGGCUUACCAACCCGAUGCAAACUGCGAAUACCGGAGAAUGUUAUCACGGGAGACACACGGCGGGUGCUAACGUCCGUCGUGAAGAGGGAAACAACCCAGACCGCCAGCUAAGGUCCCAAAGUCAUGGUUAAGUGGGAAACGAUGUGGGAAGGCCCAGACAGCCAGGAUGUUGGCUUAGAAGCAGCCAUCAUUUAAAGAAAGCGUAAUAGCUCACUGGUCGAGUCGGCCUGCGCGGAAGAUGUAACGGGGCUAAACCAUGCACCGAAGCUGCGGCAGCGAACGUAUCACUUAAAGCGAUUCAGCGGGUUACGAUUGACGGAGCGAAGCGACGUCAAAGCGUAUACAAAGUCGAGUCGGUUUAAGGAUACGUUCGUUGGGUAGGGGAGCGUUCUGUAAGCCCGUGAAGGUGGCCUGUGAGGGUUGCUGGAGGUAUCAGAAGUGCGAAUGCUGACAUAAGUAACGAUAAAGCGGGUGAAAAGCCCGCUCGCCGGAAGACCAAGGGUUCCUGUCCAACGUUAAUCGGGGCAGGGUGAGUCGACCCCUAAGGCGAGGCCGAAAGGCGUAGUCGAUGGGAAACGGGUUAAUAUUCCCGUACUUGGUGUUACUGCGAAGGGGGGACGGAGAAGGCUAUGUUGGCCGGGCGACGGUUGUCCCGGUUUAAGCGUGUAGGUGUGUGUUCCAGGUAAAUCCGGUUCACUUUAACACUGAGGCGUGACGACGAGGCACUACGGUGCUGAAGCAACAAAUGCCCUGCUUCCAGGAAAAGCCUCUAAGCAUCAGGUAACACGAAAUCGUACCCCAAACCGACACAGGUGGUCAGGUAGAGAAUACCAAGGCGCUUGAGAGAACUCGGGUGAAGGAACUAGGCAAAAUGGUGCCGUAACUUCGGGAGAAGGCACGCUGACACGUAGGUGAAGUGAUUUACUCAUGGAGCUGAAGUCAGUCGAAGAUACCAGCUGGCUGCAACUGUUUAUUAAAAACACAGCACUGUGCAAACACGAAAGUGGACGUAUACGGUGUGACGCCUGCCCGGUGCCGGAAGGUUAAUUGAUGGGGUCAGCGUAAGCGAAGCUCCUGAUCGAAGCCCCGGUAAACGGCGGCCGUAACUAUAACGGUCCUAAGGUAGCGAAAUUCCUUGUCGGGUAAGUUCCGACCUGCACGAAUGGCGUAAUGAUGGCCAGGCUGUCUCCACCCGAGACUCAGUGAAAUUGAACUCGCUGUGAAGAUGCAGUGUACCCGCGGCAAGACGGAAAGACCCCGUGAACCUUUACUAUAGCUUGACACUGAACAUUGAGCCUUGAUGUGUAGGAUAGGUGGGAGGCUUUGAAGUGUGGACGCCAGUCUGCAUGGAGCCGACCUUGAAAUACCACCCUUUAAUGUUUGAUGUUCUAACGUGGACCCGUAAUCCGGGUUGCGGACAGUGUCUGGUGGGUAGUUUGACUGGGGCGGUCUCCUCCUAAAGAGUAACGGAGGAGCACGAAGGUUGGCUAAUCCUGGUCGGACAUCAGGAGGUUAGUGCAAUGGCAUAAGCCAGCUUGACUGCGAGCGUGACGGCGCGAGCAGGUGCGAAAGCAGGUCAUAGUGAUCCGGUGGUUCUGAAUGGAAGGGCCAUCGCUCAACGGAUAAAAGGUACUCCGGGGAUAACAGGCUGAUACCGCCCAAGAGUUCAUAUCGACGGCGGUGUUUGGCACCUCGAUGUCGGCUCAUCACAUCCUGGGGCUGAAGUAGGUCCCAAGGGUAUGGCUGUUCGCCAUUUAAAGUGGUACGCGAGCUGGGUUUAGAACGUCGUGAGACAGUUCGGUCCCUAUCUGCCGUGGGCGCUGGAGAACUGAGGGGGGCUGCUCCUAGUACGAGAGGACCGGAGUGGACGCAUCACUGGUGUUCGGGUUGUCAUGCCAAUGGCACUGCCCGGUAGCUAAAUGCGGAAGAGAUAAGUGCUGAAAGCAUCUAAGCACGAAACUUGCCCCGAGAUGAGUUCUCCCUGAGACUUAGAGUCUCCUGAAGGAACGUUGAAGACGACGACGUUGAUAGGCCGGGUGUGUAAGCGCAGCGAUGCGUUGAGCUAACCGGUACUAAUGAACCGUGAGGCUUAACCUU
Molecule: ribosomal RNA, 2987 nt
Filed under: Salmonella enterica subsp. enterica serovar Typhimurium
Lineage: Bacteria; Pseudomonadati; Pseudomonadota; Gammaproteobacteria; Enterobacterales; Enterobacteriaceae
Description: bacterial LSU rRNA
Rfam family: Bacterial large subunit ribosomal RNA
Source: RNAcentral